UAGAACCGCAAGGGGAGUCCAGCACGGGCUGAGAGGAAGCAGAAUGCGCUUCGACCCUGAGAACCUGUAAGUUCAAACUUACGAAGGGAUGUGGACCGGAACAAUC
Molecule: non-coding RNA, 106 nt
Filed under: Salisediminibacterium beveridgei
Lineage: Bacteria; Bacillati; Bacillota; Bacilli; Caryophanales; Bacillaceae
Description: Bacillus beveridgei TPP sequence
Rfam family: TPP riboswitch aptamer (THI element)
About the family: Vitamin B(1) in its active form thiamin pyrophosphate (TPP) is an essential coenzyme that is synthesised by coupling of pyrimidine and thiazole moieties in bacteria. The previously detected thiamin-regulatory element, thi box was extended, resulting in a new, highly conserved RNA secondary structure, the THI element, which is widely distributed in eubacteria and also occurs in some archaea.
Source: Rfam by way of RNAcentral